UGGGGAAUUGUUCACAAUGGGCGCAAGCCUGAUGACGCAACGCCGCGUGGAGGAUGAAGGUCUUCGGAUUGUAAACUCCUGUUGCCCGGGACGAAAAGCUUCGACCUAACACGUCGAGGUCUGACGGUACCGGGUGAGGAAGCCCCGGCUAACUCUGUGCCAGCAGCCGCGGUAAUACAGAGGGGGCAAGCGUUGUUCGGAAUUACUGGGCGUAAAGGGCGCGUAGGCGGCCUUCUAAGUCGAACGUGAAAUCCCUGGGCUCAACCCAGGAACUGCGUCCGAUACUGGAAGGCUUGAAUCCGGGAGAGGGAUGCGGAAUUCCAGGUGUAGCGGUGAAAUGCGUAGAUAUCUGGAGGAACACCGGUGGCGAAGGCGGCAUCCUGGACCGGUAUUGACGCUGAGGCGCGAAAGCCAGGGGAGCAAACG
RNAcentral lists this ribosomal RNA (426 nucleotides) under uncultured bacterium. RNAcentral's name for it is "bacterial SSU rRNA". It matches the Rfam family "Bacterial small subunit ribosomal RNA", at positions 355 to 774 of the family's 1533-position model. The record is from RNAcentral.